RNAcentral lists this ribosomal RNA (510 nucleotides) under uncultured bacterium. Its description in RNAcentral is "bacterial SSU rRNA". It matches the Rfam family "Bacterial small subunit ribosomal RNA", at positions 1 to 507 of the family's 1533-position model. The record is from RNAcentral.
AGUAGUUUGAUCAUGGGUCUCGAAGGAUGAACGCUAGCGGCAGGCCUAAUACAUGCAAGACGAACGGGUAAGUUGAAGUAGCAAUACUUAGCCAAGAGUGUCGUACGGGUGCGUAACACGUAUGCAACCUACCCUAUACAGGAGGAUAGCCUAGGGAAACCUGGAUUAACCCUUCAUAGUAUUAUUGGAUGGCAUCAUUUGAUAAUUAAAACUGAGGUGGUAUAGGAUGGGCAUGCGUCUGAUUAGUUAGUUGGCGGGGUAAUGGCCCACCAAGACGAUGAUCAGUAGGGGUUCUGAGAGGAAGAUCCCCCACACUGGCACUGAGAUACGGGCCAGACUCCUACGGGAGGCAGCAGUAGGGAAUAUUGGUCAAUGGAUGCAAGUCUGAACCAGCCAUGCCGCGUGCAGGAAGAAGGCCUUCUGGGUUGUAAACUGCUUUUGCCAGGGGAUAAAAUUUCCAUGCGUGGAAAACUGAAGGUACCUGGUGAAUAAGCCACGGCUAACUACGUG